RNAcentral lists this unclassified non-coding RNA (326 nucleotides) under Hevea brasiliensis (rubber tree). Lineage: Eukaryota; Viridiplantae; Streptophyta; Magnoliopsida; Malpighiales; Euphorbiaceae. The record is from RNAcentral.
AGAAAAUAUGACUGUCGCAGAACUUAUUGAAGUUUAUGAAGGGUGCAUUUCAAGUUUACUAAAGACUCAAUCACGUCGUCGAUUUGCUUCUUUAAAGAGGGUUUCUCCUGCAAAUUUCUCAAAAGAGGCGCGGCAUUCCAUUUCCAAUGAAGUUUUGCAGCAGAUUAAAACACUCAAUUACCUGGAUGUGGAGCUUUUUAAGUAUGCUCAAGAAAUCUUUGCAAUGAGACAUGUGCAACUGAUGGGGAAUCUUGAUAUGAAAGAUGGAUCAGAAAGCAAACUCAACCGACCACGUGCAUUUGAGCUAUGGAAAAUUCCUUCGUUAG